GGCGCCGGCUGCGCCGGCCACGGGCCCUGGCGGCGCGCCAGCGUCCAGGCCCAAGGGGCGCCGGCAUACGGGCCCCCAAGGGGCGCCGGAGGAGGCGCUGGAGGGGGCGCCGGCGUACGGGUGCUGGAGAGGGCGACGGGGAGGAGGCGCUGUAGGGGCGACGGGAGGAGGCGCUGUAGGGGCGACGGGAGGAGGCGCUGGAUGGGAGCGGCGGGAGGAGGCGCUGGUGUGGGCGGCGGAAUGGACAGGCGAGGGGGCGCGAGGUGGAUAGCGCUCGAUGCAGGGGCGGCAGGGGAGCAUCUCGCCGGCGGUUAUCUGGAUCUCGGAGGAAAG
This 333-nucleotide long non-coding RNA is filed under the name Setaria italica (foxtail millet). Its description in RNAcentral is "long non-coding RNA (SITA_LNC005909)". The record is from RNAcentral. Lineage: Eukaryota; Viridiplantae; Streptophyta; Magnoliopsida; Poales; Poaceae.